AUUAAUUAGUUUUUUGGUAGUUAUUUUUUAAGCCAAUCAUUUUAUAAUUCUUAUUAUGCGGUAACUUUUAGCCAUUUUUUUAAACUAUUAAAUCCAUCCUGGAAGAACUGAUUCAUGACUCAUGUACAGUAGAAGCAUAAGCAAUCAAAUUAAGAGAAAAAAUAACUACCAAAAAACUAAUUAAUUAUCAAAUUCCCAUUACAUUUAAAGAGGAGACCUUCACAGCACUCUUGGUGUAGAUAAAGAGCGAGCUAC
This 255-nucleotide unclassified non-coding RNA is filed under the name Hevea brasiliensis (rubber tree). The record is from RNAcentral. Lineage: Eukaryota; Viridiplantae; Streptophyta; Magnoliopsida; Malpighiales; Euphorbiaceae.